UGAGGGUGCAAGCGUUAAUCGGAAUUACUGGGCGUAAAGCGAGUGUAGGCGGCUUCGUAAGUCGGAUGUGAAAGCCCCGGGCUCAACCUGGGAAUUGCAUUCGAUACUGCGCGGCUAGAGUCUGAUAGAGGGAAGUGGAAUUCCAGGUGUAGCGGUGAAAUGCGUAGAUAUCUGGAGGAACAUCAGUGGCGAAGGCGGCUUCCUGGAUCAAGACUGACGCUGAGGCUCGAAAGCGUGGGGAGCAAACAGGAUUAGAUACCCUGGUAGUCCACGCCCCUAAACGAUGUCAACUAGACGUUGGGCUCAUUAAGGAGUUUAGUGUCGAAGCUAACGCGUUAAGUUGACCCGCCUGGGAGUACGGCCGCAAGGUUG
Molecule: ribosomal RNA, 372 nt
Filed under: uncultured organism
Description: partial 16S ribosomal RNA
Rfam family: Bacterial small subunit ribosomal RNA
Source: RNAcentral